Molecule: ribosomal RNA, 477 nt
Filed under: uncultured bacterium
Lineage: Bacteria
Description: bacterial SSU rRNA
Rfam family: Bacterial small subunit ribosomal RNA
Source: RNAcentral
AAUCAACGCUGGCGGCGUGCCUCAGACAUGCAAGUCGAACGCGAAAGUUUCCUUCGGGAAGCGAGUAGAGUGGCGCACGGGUGAGUAACACGUAAGUAAUCUACCUCGGGGUGGGGAAUAACAUCGGGAAACCGAUGCUAAUACCGCAUAAUGCAGCGGCUUCUUAUGAAGACAGUUGUUAAAGCAUUUAUGUGCCUGGAGAGGAGCUUGCGGCAGAUUAGCUAGUUGGUAAGGUAAUGGCUUACCAAGGCAACGAUCUGUAGCCGACCUGAGAGGGUGGUCGGUCACACUGACACUGAAUAACGGGUCAGACUCCUACGGGAGGCAGCAGUCGGGAAUUUUGGGCAAUGGGCGCAAGCCUGACCCAGCAACGCCGCGCGAAGGAUGAAGUAUUUCGGUAUGUAAACUUCGUAAAAUAGGAAGAAUAAAUGACGGUACUAUUUGUAAGGUCCGGCUAACUACGUGCCAGCCGCCGCU